AUACGGAGGGGGUUAGCGUUGUUCGGAAUUACUGGGCGUAAAGCGUACGUAGGCGGAUCGGAAAGUAAGGGGUGAAAUCCCAGGGCUCAACCCUGGAACUGCCUCUUAAACUCCCGGUCUCGAGUUCGAGAGAGGUGAGUGGAAUUCCUAGUGUAGAGGUGAAAUUCGUAGAUAUUAGGAGGAACACCAGUGGCGAAGGCGGCUCACUGGCUCGAUACUGACGCUGAGGUACGAAAGUGUGGGGAGCAAACAGGAUUAGAAACCCUAGUAGUCC
RNAcentral lists this ribosomal RNA (274 nucleotides) under uncultured bacterium. RNAcentral describes it as "partial 16S ribosomal RNA". It matches the Rfam family "Bacterial small subunit ribosomal RNA", at positions 523 to 796 of the family's 1533-position model. The record is from RNAcentral.